GUCUAUGGCCACACCACCCUGAACACGCCCAAUUUUGGCUGAUCUUGGAAGCUAAGCAGAGUAGGGCCUGGUUAGUACUUGGAUAGGAGACUGCCUGGGAAUACUGGGUGCUGUAGGCU
This is a ribosomal RNA of Oryctolagus cuniculus (rabbit), 119 nucleotides long. The record is from Ensembl. NCBI's taxonomy places the organism in Eukaryota, Metazoa, Chordata, Mammalia, Lagomorpha, Leporidae.